Streptosporangium subroseum is the source of this 83-nucleotide transfer RNA. It matches the Rfam family "tRNA". Rfam says of the family: Transfer RNA (tRNA) molecules are approximately 80 nucleotides in length. Their secondary structure includes four short double-helical elements and three loops (D, anti-codon, and T loops). NCBI's taxonomy places the organism in Bacteria, Bacillati, Actinomycetota, Actinomycetes, Streptosporangiales, Streptosporangiaceae. The record is from Rfam.
GGGCGGGUGGCGGAACGGCAGACGCGCACGGUUCAGGUCCGUGUGUCCGAAAGGACGUGAGGGUUCAAAUCCCUCCUCGCCCA